RNAcentral lists this ribosomal RNA (424 nucleotides) under Verrucomicrobiota bacterium. RNAcentral's name for it is "Verrucomicrobia bacterium partial 16S ribosomal RNA". It matches the Rfam family "Bacterial small subunit ribosomal RNA", at positions 355 to 776 of the family's 1533-position model. The record is from RNAcentral. Lineage: Bacteria; Pseudomonadati; Verrucomicrobiota.
UGAGGAAUAUUGGUCAAUGGGCGAGAGCCUGAACCAGCCAAGUAGCGUGCAGGAUGACGGCCCUAUGGGUUGUAAACUGCUUUUAUGUGGGGAUAAAGUGCGUGACGUGUCAUGCAUUGCAGGUACCACAUGAAUAAGGACCGGCUAAUUCCGUGCCAGCAGCCGCGGUAAUACGGAAGGUCCGGGCGUUAUCCGGAUUUAUUGGGUUUAAAGGGAGCGUAGGCUGUCUAUUAAGCGUGUUGUGAAAUUUACCGGCUCAACCGGUGGCUUGCAGCGCGAACCGGUCGACUUGAGUAUGCAGGAAGUAGGCGGAAUUCAUGGUGUAGCGGUGAAAUGCUUAGAUAUCAUGACGAACUCCGAUUGCGCAGGCAGCUUACUGUAGCAUAACUGACGCUGAUGCUCGAAAGUGCGGGUAUCAAACAGG